CACGGGGUUGCGAGCGUUGUCCGGAAUUACUAGGCGUAAAGGGCAGGCAGGCGGAUCCAUAAGUUUAUCGUUUAAGGCGUCGGCUUAACCGGCGUAGGGCGGUAGAUACUGUGGAUCUGGAAUGCGGUUGGGGAAGACAGAAUUCCUGGUGUAGCGGUGGAAUGCGCAGAGAUCGUGAGGAAUACCGAAGGCGAAGGCAGUCUUCCAAGCCGUUAUUUACGCUCAACUGCGAAGGUGUGGGUAUCAAACAGGAUUAGAUACCCUGGUAGUCCCUGAG
RNAcentral lists this ribosomal RNA (277 nucleotides) under uncultured prokaryote. RNAcentral's name for it is "partial 16S ribosomal RNA". It matches the Rfam family "Bacterial small subunit ribosomal RNA", at positions 524 to 801 of the family's 1533-position model. The record is from RNAcentral.